CUCACACGCCCGCCCGCCGGGCCGCGGCGGGAGAGGAGAGGCGUGAGGGGCGCGCCCGAGCCGUGUGCACCCCCGGGCCGGUGAGGGCCCUGUGGCAGCCCCGCAGCUCCCCUCACGGUGCGUGCGGUGUGUAUGGCAGCCGUACGGGGAGCGGCUGAGGUCAUUGGUCAGCCUGGAGGAGAAUGAGGGGAGACCUCAUCGCAGUCUGCAGCUUCCUCACGAUGAGAUGCAGAGCAGCAGACGCUGAUCUCUGUGGUUAGCGGUGAUAGGACCCGUGGGAGUGGCCGGAGGUUGUGUCAGGGGAGGUUUAGGUAGGAUGUCAGGAAACCUUCGUCCAGAGGGUGGUUGGACACUGGAACAGCUUCCCAGGGAAGUGGUCACAGCACCAGCCCGAGAGAGUUCAAGAAGCGUUCGGACAACGCUCUCAGGCUCAUGGUGCGACCCUUGGGGGUGUCCUGUGCAGGGCCAGGAGUUGGACUCUAUGAUCCUCGUGGGUCUCUUCCAAUUCAGCAUACUCCGUGAAAAUCACUCCCCUCCCGCUGGGCGUUGGUAAGGGCAACCUGCCCGGGCACGGGCUGGCACGUCGGAGCCAGGCUGGUUGAUGACCUGUGAGGAGAGCGGCGGGCAGGCAGGAGGCCGCUCCAGAGUCAGCGGGACAGCUUGCAGCGGUCGAGACCGAGCGUCAAAGAAAGAGCAGCACCAGCUCCUUGAUGUGCCCGUCUGCAGCUGAGGGUCAUAUAUAUGUGGGUAUUUGUCACGUCCAGUGUUCAUGGACAAUAUUCAGGAACUGUUAUUACGUGAUGAAACUAUCCUCCUGCAGAGACUUCUUUAAGAAAAGCCCUUCCCAUCUGUUUUUAAGCAGCAGACUAUUUUGUCUCUGACUGUUGUUAAAUUUAUUUGCAUGACAUGAAGUCUGUGAUUUAAAUAUAGACCAAUGGAUACCUACAUGCCCACAAAGGUGUGAUUUUGUUUGAUGUUUUGGAGGAUACAGACGUGCGUAUUCAGUCAAAAAAGUGAAGGAUGCUGUAUUUUUUCACCAGACACUUGCAGCUACAUGACCUGAGACAUAUCUUGUGGUGAGAUUGGGAAAUCUUUGAAUGCUGAGGACCUUCCUGUGUCCAUGUCUGGUCCUGGUCUAUGUGACUCUGGAAGCAAGAAUUCAGCUUCAGGCAGUGCCACUGUAGAAGUGCUAAGUGCAGAGGUGCGCAGUCUUGCCAGGAGCAUCUUUCCCAUUGGUCAUGGAAGGUACCAGCUGGCACAAGUGAAUGCACUGUGGCACUAGGUCUGGUUUGAAUGAAACAGGAAAUAAAUCACACAUGGUAAUAAAGCAAACAAUACUGUAAGUAGAUUCCAGAUGAUGGAGAAGCUCAGAGAAGAAAAAGAGUGAGGUGAAUGAAAUGUCUGCUCUGAAAUGGCUGCUCAAGUCCAAGACUGAAACUCCAGUCUCACUUGCUGCCUGUAUUUAACAUCUGAAAAAUCUUACAUCGGUGAAUCUAUUGCCAGGCUUUUUUCCACUAUGAGCACAAUCUUUUGAAGAUUUAAUCACUAGUAAAAAAAAUCUCUUUCCUCUGUUGUAAUGCAGAGGAGAAAGUAAAGAAAUCCAUGCAGCAGGAAAGAGUCUGGAACACAUGGCAAGAUGUUUUACUUGUAUCACAGUAUUUUUCACUUAUUAUAGUGCCUUUGAUCCAAUGGCCUUGCAGUAUUUUAUGAGUUACGAGUGAUCUUUGAUCUUUUGUUUCCCUAUGCUGAUGAAAAAGGCUUUGCUUUAUUUUUUUUUUCUGCCAGAGUAAACUGAUUCACUGAGAUUAUGCUCAAACUGUAAAGUCAGAAACAAAGCCAGCUCAGGUCACUGCACUCCCCCUCAGUGCCUUCUUUCAGACCUGUAUCACCUUUGUGCCAACCCUUCCAAAAGGGGACAGAGUCCAAAAAAUGGUGAUUAGAAAUCACAAGUUGUCAUUGUGAUUGUAUGGUAGAAAUUGUAAAGACCUCGAUAACAGGAGGAUGAACACAGGAUAAAUAGACAGGCUACUUUAUUAAACCCUUUGAAGCACAGUGGAUUAUGUUUGCACAUAAUACACCUGCUGUGGUGCUGAGGACUAAGAUCUGUCUUUGUUAACAUGCCAUCCAAAUUUCAUCAGGAACAUAUUUUUCAUUAAAAUGCUUCAACGGAGCUGGUCUCUGAGGCAUCUGGCUAGCGGUGGAUAAAAUCCUUGCCAUUAAAGUUGGUCUCCCUGGAGAGCGAGAAGCUAACAACAGAAGGGACGGGAGAACAAGGGAGCAGACGAGUACCCAUUUAGCCCACAGCCAAAACGUUGAGAUCUAAAUUAAGUUAGACACUGAAGGAUACAAAGAGAGAGUAACCUUUAAUUGCUGAUCUCUAGCACCAGCUGCCGGCGUGAUAAGCAAGCGGGGAGUGCAGACAGAUCCCACCUGCGCACAGAUCCCAGGUAGCUGCUGGGCUGAGGCAGCCCGUGUGGCUGAAAUGUUGAAGGCAGCCAUGGCAGGAAGGUCAGACAGGAAAAUCUUCAUGGCCUGUAAAAUUGGGAUUAUGUGUUUUCCAGCUGCUGGCAGCUGUGCAGAAAUCACUUGCACGUGUGGUGAUGGGUGGUGCCAGAGGCUGUGGGCAGCUGCCUCUACUUAGCAAGGCCAGAGCAGCCACCUUGACUGCAGCCGGGAGCUGAAACCGGUCUGCUUGACUUUACAGAUUGAGGGUACUUACGUGAAGGGCACAAUCACCAGAUUGGCUGUGUUGGUGGUUUUCAGUGGACAUAAGGUGGUGUGUUGGUUUCUGGCUGUAUCCCCACUGCCGGCACAGUUGGGCUGGGAAGAAAAUGUCUUUUUUUUUAAGUUGGCGUAAAAACAAGAUCAUAUAGUAGCACAUAUUGUCCAGAGACCACCAGGUGUGAAAGCAGAAUUGCUGGCUACUAAAUUCCCUCUCUGCUCUGUGUAGUGAGGAGAGAUGUGACAUUGUGUGUGAUUUUUAUCUGUGCAAAAUAUGCUAAAAGCCUUCACUUGCUGGUAUUAAAUUGACCUCAAGCUUCCUAGCGGGAGUAGUAAUAAUAAGCAGGCAAGCCAGAGAAAUCUGUUUGCCCUCAUCCACACUGGCAAAGGAGAUUUAAUUGUGAAACCUCCAAAGCAGUGCUGGCUGGGAUACAAGAGAGUCAUCUGUUACAGUGAAUCAAGGUAAAGGCCAAAAUGGUAAUAAAAAUAUUUGGUGGUUUGGGGGGAAAAUUCAAAAAGCUGGAAAGAGUGAAAAACUGAAACAUGGCCUUUUGGAAACAGUAUCUCUGCAUUGUUCAAGAAUCUUUCUCAAAAAAAAAAAAAAAAAAAAAAA
Parus major (Great Tit) is the source of this 3334-nucleotide long non-coding RNA. RefSeq lists it as uncharacterized. The transcript has 2 exons. The record is from RefSeq and is a predicted model, not a curated record. NCBI's taxonomy places the organism in Eukaryota, Metazoa, Chordata, Aves, Passeriformes, Paridae.